Molecule: ribosomal RNA, 448 nt
Filed under: uncultured bacterium
Lineage: Bacteria
Description: bacterial SSU rRNA
Rfam family: Bacterial small subunit ribosomal RNA
Source: RNAcentral
UGGGGAAUCUUGCGCAAUGGGCGAAAGCCUGACGCAGCCAUGCCGCGUGAAUGAUGAAGGUCUUAGGAUUGUAAAGUUCUUUCGCUCGUGACGAUGAUGACGGUAACGAGAGAAGAAGCCCCGGCUAACUUCGUGCCAGCAGCCGCGGUAAUACGAAGGGGGCUAGCGUUGUUCGGAAUUACUGGGCGUAAAGCGCGCGUAGGCGGCUUUGCAAGCCAGAGGUGAAAUGCCUGAGCUCAACUUAGGAAUUGCCUUUGGGACUGCGAGGCUUCGAGGACUGGAGAGGUGAGUGGAAUUCCCAGUGUAGAGGUGAAAUGCGUAGAUAUGUGGAGGAAUACCGAUGGCGAAGGCAGCCCCCUGGGAUAACACUGACGCUCAUGCACGAAAGCGUGGGGAGCAAACAGGAUUAGAUACCCAUGUAGUCCCUGAGCGGGCUGGCAAGGCGCAU